CUGCAGUGAUGUGUUUCUUAGGACACCUUUGGAUCUUCUGUGAAAAUAAACCGAUUCUGAGCAGC
Phocoena sinus (vaquita) is the source of this 65-nucleotide small nucleolar RNA. Its record names the gene SNORD58. It matches the Rfam family "Small nucleolar RNA SNORD58". Rfam says of the family: snoRNA U58 is found in introns 1, 3 and 6 of the ribosomal protein RPL17 gene in humans. U58 is a member of the C/D class of snoRNA which contain C (UGAUGA) and D (CUGA) box motifs. Lineage: Eukaryota; Metazoa; Chordata; Mammalia; Artiodactyla; Phocoenidae. The record is from Ensembl.